AUGACCUCGGAUCAGGUAGGGAUACCCGCUGAACUUAAGCAUAUCAAUAAGCGGAGGAAAAGAAACCAACAGGGAUUACCUCAGUAACGC
RNAcentral lists this ribosomal RNA (90 nucleotides) under Podosphaera xanthii. RNAcentral's name for it is "partial 28S ribosomal RNA". It matches the Rfam family "Eukaryotic large subunit ribosomal RNA", at positions 1 to 89 of the family's 3401-position model. Lineage: Eukaryota; Fungi; Ascomycota; Leotiomycetes; Helotiales; Erysiphaceae. The record is from RNAcentral.